RNAcentral lists this ribosomal RNA (322 nucleotides) under uncultured eukaryote. RNAcentral describes it as "partial 18S ribosomal RNA". It matches the Rfam family "Eukaryotic small subunit ribosomal RNA", at positions 1470 to 1796 of the family's 1831-position model. The record is from RNAcentral.
CCCUUAGAUGUCCUGGGCCGCACGCGCGUUACACUGAUGCAUUCAACGAGCUUAUAACCUUGGCCGAGAGGCCUGGGCAAUCUUGUUAACGUGCAUCGUGAUAGGGAUAGAUUAUUGAAAUUAUUAAUCUUGAACGAGGAAUUCCUAGUAAACGCAGAUCAUCAAUCUGCAUUGAUUACGUCCCUGCCCUUUGUACACACCGCCCGUCGCACCUACCGAUUGAAUGGUCCGGUGAAAUCUCGGGACGGCGGCUUGGUCGCUUGCGUCCGACUGCUGAAACUUGAUUAAACCAUAUCAUUUAGAGAAAGGUGAAGUCGUANCA